UACGUAGGGUGCAAGCGUUGUCCGGAAUUAUUGGGCGUAAAGAGCUCGUAGGCGGUUUGUCGCGUCUGCUGUGAAAACUGGAGGCUCAACCUCCAGCCUGCAGUGGGUACGGGCAAACUAGAGUGCGGUAGGGGAGAUUGGAAUUCCUGGUGUAGCGGUGGAAUGCGCAGAUAUCAGGAGGAACACCGAUGGCGAAGGCAGAUCUCUGGGCCGUAACUGACGCUGAGGAGCGAAAGCAUGGGGAGCGAACAGG
This 253-nucleotide ribosomal RNA is filed under the name uncultured bacterium. Its description in RNAcentral is "partial 16S ribosomal RNA". It matches the Rfam family "Bacterial small subunit ribosomal RNA", at positions 524 to 776 of the family's 1533-position model. The record is from RNAcentral.